Molecule: long non-coding RNA, 4174 nt
Filed under: Ooceraea biroi (clonal raider ant)
Lineage: Eukaryota; Metazoa; Arthropoda; Insecta; Hymenoptera; Formicidae
Description: uncharacterized LOC113563401
Source: RNAcentral
GUCGCGAGUGCGCGAGAACGCGAGUGUUUUUUAAUCGCGGUGGCCCGCCGCCGUUGUUGCUGUCGCCGCCGCCGCCGCCACCACCGUUGCCGCAGCCGUCGCCGUCGCCGUCGCCGUCGCCGUCGUUAUCGUCGUCGUCGUCGUCGCGGUGCUUGCCACUGCUCUCCGCCGUUAGAGAACGGCUCUCCGCUAGGGAAUACGAUAUACCAAGGGAGUAGUUCGCCGCGGUAAGGUAUGCGUGCGACCGACGCGGCGGUCUCCGAUGAUCUCCGCGUUUUUGUGCAAGCCGAGAUACAGGAGCAACGCGGGGCGCACUCGCCGACGCGCUGCCACGACGCUACGAGAGCCCCGAAAAUAACGGGCCUAUUAAUAGGGGAUACCUCGGCGCAGCGGCCGCUCCGCGUGUGAACUUGAAGAUAGCGAGGAGGCCGACCGACACCGCCCGACCGACGAUCGCGUACGUAUAUCACGCGCUUUAUUGCGGCCCCGAUGCGGGGUGCGACACGCGGGGGCCAGCGGGGAAGCGAGGCGGAGGACGACGAGCUGCUUGCUCUCGGGUCCGCCGCAAGCUAGAGAGCGACGGUGUCCCGAAAGGGACAAAUGACCGUUUUCAUCCGCGAGGGGUCUUUCAACCGAGUGCGACAACGAACAGCGACUUUCGCCUGCCCGACUCGCUUCUCCUCUGGACCCGUGGUAGUCUCUCUCUCUGGUGUCACCUAGCAAGGCGCCGGAAGUGAGCGUCGUUCCGACGGCGCGCGACGCCCGAGGAUGCUCCUCUUGUAUCUUUCCGGAAGGAAUCGGGAAUUGGACUCUGAUGUCCGUCGUGGAUACGCGGGUAGGCCGCUAGCCACUCGAGCACGCGCGAUGGCUCGCGGAAAUAUUAAACAUCUCGCUGAUACGCGCGUGUUAAUGUAACACGCGGUAUUAUCGCGAUGUGCAAUGGAAAGAAGUACGCGUAACUGGGUCGCGGCGUAAAACACCUGCCUUGAUGCCUAUUUCUUUGACUGUUAUUUUACGAAAUGCCUGAUUCGAUAAUCGACUCGCUUCGACUGUGAAGCUUCAUGCCAAAGCGAGUGACGAGAUCAACGGGUCUCCCUCAGCAGUAUGAUCGCAUCGACGCAAGUUGUGCUGCAUAUGAGUUUGUCGCAAUAUUCGUUUUUUUUUUUUAACGAUGUAACUUAUUUAUGUUCCGUUGUUUGCCGUCUUUCGAGUAUCACGUCGCGGAAAACGUUCUAAUCUAGGAUUUGAAGUUUGCAAAUACGAGAUCAUGGGUGAAAUCCUACGUGGCUUCGUCGCAACUCGCUCAUAAAAGUGCAACGUGCGUCGAGGACACAUUGUUGUUAUACAGUACAAGUGAAGUGUUUAUGAGAACAGUGUUACGAUGUCGAAAAGCAUAUUUUGAAGAAUACGAUUAUAACGUUCGAUCAAACCCGCGAGAUUAUCGUUACAAAGUUUCGUUCCGUAGCGAUGCAACAAGAAUUCCGAUCGCAAACCAUAUUAAAGUCCUCAAAAUUAAAAACCUAAAUCUUAAAUACCUUAAGCUUAUAUAUUAUUUGUUUAAAUAACACUAUCUUUAAUCGUUCUGCGUUCUAUUUUGAUAGAUUCGUGGAAAAGCCUGAAAAUGCUUUCUGUGUUCUUUUUUUUCUGAAUCGGUGAUUGAUAAUUUCCGGUUUGGAAUUUCGACAUUGAUUCGCGAAAAUGUCGAAAUUGCGGAAUUGUAACGCUUUUCUAGCCGCGUGACGAUAUGCAGGAAGAGAGGCGGCGAACUGCAGUUCGCCGCUCGUUCUGGACAAUUUUUCAUAACUCGCACGAUCGAGCCGGCGAUCGCUUAUGAUUUUCUUGCACGCCGUUGCUAAUUUAAACGUUGGCGUUUGCUGCCAAGUAUACGACGCGAGUCCACCGGGUAGGACUCGCGUUUACUCGCAUCGACGCAAGUUGUGCUGCAUAUGAGUUUUUGUCGCAAUAUUCGUUUUUUUUUUUAACGAUGUAACUUAUUUAUGUUCCGUUGUUUGCCGUCUUUCGAGUAUCACGUCGCGGAAAACGUUCUAAUCUAGGAUUUGAAGUUUGCAAAUACGAGAUCAUGGGUGAAAUCCUACGUGGCUUCGUCGCAACUCGCUCAUAAAAGUGCAACGUGCGUCGAGGACACAUUGUUGUUAUACAGUACAAGUGAAGUGUUUAUGAGAACAGUGUUACGAUGUCGAAAAGCAUAUUUUGAAGAAUACGAUUAUAACGUUCGAUCAAACCCGCGAGAUUAUCGUUACAAAGUUUCGUUCCGUAGCGAUGCAACAAGAAUUCCGAUCGCAAACCAUAUUAGUCUACAAAAUUAAAAACUUAAAUCUUAAAUACCUUAAGCUUAUAUAUUAUUUGUUUAAAUAACACUAUCUUUAAUCGUUCUGCGUUCUAUUUUGAUAGAUUCGUGGAAAAGCCUGAAAAUGCUUUCUGUGUUCUUUUUUUUCUGAAUCGGUGAUUGAUAAUUUCCGGUUUGGAAUAUCGACAUUGAUUCGCGAAAAUGUAUUGCGGAAUUGUAACGCUUUUCUAGCCGCGUGACGAUAUGCAGGAAGAGAGGCGGCGAACUGCAGUUCGCCGCUCGUUCUGGACAAUUUUUCAUAACUCGCACGAUCGAGCCGGCGAUCGCUUAUGAUUUUCUUGCACGCCGUUGCUAAUUUAAACGUUGGCGUUUGCUGCCAAGUAUACGACGCGAGUCCACCGGGUAGGACUCGCGUUUACUCGCAUCGACGCAAGUUGUGCUGCAUAUGAGUUUUUGUCGCAAUAUUCGUUUUUUUUUUUAACGAUGUAACUUAUUUAUGUUCCGUUGUUUGCCGUCUUUCGAGUAUCACGUCGCGGAAAACGUUCUAAUCUAGGAUUUGAAGUUUGCAAAUACGAGAUCAUGGGUAAAAUCCUACGUGGCUUCGUCGCAACUCGCUCAUAAAAGUGCAACGUGCGUCGAGGACACAUUGUUGUUAUACAGUACAAGUGAAGUGUUUAUGAGAACAGUGUUAUGAUGUCGAAAAGCAUAUUUUGAAGAAUACGAUUAUAACGUUCGAUCAAACCCGCGAGAUUAUCGUUACAAAGUUUCGUUCCGUAGCGAUGCAACAAGAAUUCCGAUCGCAAACCAUAUUAGUCUACAAAAUUAAAAACUUAAAUCUUAAAUACCUUAAGCUUAUAUAUUAUUUGUUUAAAUAACACUAUCUUUAAUCGUUCUGCGUUCUAUUUUGAUAGAUUCGUGGAAAAGCCUGAAAAUGCUUUCUGUGUUCUUUUUUUUUCUGAGUCGGUGAUUGAUAAUUUCCGGUUUGGAAUUUCGACAUUGAUUCGCGAAAAUGUCGAAAUUGCGGAAUUGUAACGCUUUUCUAGCCGCGUGACGAUAUGCAGGAAGAGAGGCGGCGAACUGCAGUUCGCCGCUCGUUCUGGACAAUUUUUCAUAACUCGCACGAUCGAGCCGGCGAUCGCUUAUGAUUUUCUUGCACGCCGUUGCUAAUUUAAACGUUGGCGUUUGCUGCCAAGUAUACGACGCGAGUCCCCCGGGUAGGACUCGCGUUUACUCGCAUCGACGCUCGUUGCUUUUGCGACAUUGAUUCAAUCGCAUUGUUUCUUUCGAGUCGCUCGUUAUGCGGCCCACCGAGUUAUCAAUCAAUCGUUAUUUCGGCCCGUAGCUCAUUACUCGGUGGAUUGAAAGUGAAAGUGGCACGAGUCGGAACUUUUAGUCCGCAGCAACGACGUAUGGAAUAACCGCAAGACAAACAGUAAAUCAGUAUCAGUCGCGCGAAUUUUUGGAGAAUUUGCUUAUUACUUGAAUCUAUCUUUUAUUUACGUGUGAUUUAUUUAUUUUAUGGUAUAUACUGGUCUGCAGUCGUUAUUAGUUUCCACAUUUGUCUUCUUACUUUCCUUCCUUGUCAAAGCACAUAUUUGGCACUGUUCUUGUUUCAAGUGCAAAAAUGUGAAAUAAGGGAAACUUACAAUUAGAGGAAGCAUAUAGUCACGUUCUGUUAAUGCGUUUUCAUGUUCUUCUCGAAUCCAGACUGUGCAUCUGCGCUUUUUUAUACUCCCUCCUCUCUGCUAAAAUGGAGAUGAGGGAUAAGUGCGUAAGUGUUAAAAGGACAAAAAGACGAAAUUGAAAUGGAGAAAGUGUGAUGUGAAAACGAGAACAUUAUUAAACAAUUUUAAUGGAAAUGCAAAA